GCUGUCCUGCUGCCCUAACGUGAGGGUGCCGAGCCGAAGGGAUGCAGCGGGGACAGGAUUGGUGCCGGGACCCCGACUGGAGCAGAGCGCAGACUCACAAGGACCAUGGAGUUGCACCACGUGAACGAGGUGCUGCUGGAGGUGCUGGCGUGCGUCAUCCUGGCCUAUCACCUGUCCCAGGCCAACGUCUUCUUCUUCUACCUGCUGCUGCUCCUGCCCCUCAUCUUCCUCUUCGAGGAGCCCAUCGGGAUGUGAGGACGGCUGCAGUCCCACUCACUGAGCAAUAAAGACCCGUGCCCGUC
This is a long non-coding RNA of Phasianus colchicus (ring-necked pheasant), 302 nucleotides long. RefSeq lists it as uncharacterized. The record is from RefSeq and is a predicted model, not a curated record. Lineage: Eukaryota; Metazoa; Chordata; Aves; Galliformes; Phasianidae.